This 253-nucleotide ribosomal RNA is filed under the name uncultured bacterium. RNAcentral describes it as "partial 16S ribosomal RNA". It matches the Rfam family "Bacterial small subunit ribosomal RNA", at positions 524 to 776 of the family's 1533-position model. The record is from RNAcentral.
UACAGGGGGGGCAAGCGUUGUUCGGAAUUACUGGGCGUAAAGGGCUCGUAGGCGGCCAACUAAGUCACACGUGAAAUCCCCAGGCUUAACCUGGGAACUGCGUGUGAUACUGGAUGGCUUGAAUUCGGGAGAGGGAUGCAGAAUUCCAGGUGUAGCGGUGAAAUGCGUAGAUAUCUGGAGGAAUACCGGUGGCGAAGGCGGCAUCCUGGACCGACAUUGACGCUUAGGAGCGAAAGCUAGGGGAGCAAACGGG